GAUGAACGCUGGCGGCGUGCCUAAUACAUGCAAGUCGAGCGAACAGACGAGGAGCUUGCUCCUCUGACGUUAGCGGCGGACGGGUGAGUAACACGUGGAUAACCUACCUAUAAGACUGGGAUAACUUCGGGAAACCGGCGCUAAUACCGGAUAAUAUAUUGAACCGCAUGGUUCAAUAGUGAAAGACGGUUUUGCUGUCACUUAUAGAUGGAUCCGCGCCGCAUUAGCUAGUUGGUAAGGUAACGGCUUACCAAGGCGACGAUGCGUAGCCGACCUGAGAGGGUGAUCGGCCACACUGGAACUGAGACACGGUCCAGACUCCUACGGUAGGCAGCAGUAGGGAAUCUUCCGCAAUGGGCGAAAGCCUGACGGAGCAACGCCGCGUGAGUGAUGAAGGUCUUCGGAUCGUAAAACUCUGUUAUUAGGGAAGAACAAAUGUGUAAGUAACUAUGCACGUCUUGACGGUACCUAAUCAGAAAGCCACGGCUAACUACGUG
This 497-nucleotide ribosomal RNA is filed under the name uncultured bacterium. Its description in RNAcentral is "partial 16S ribosomal RNA". It matches the Rfam family "Bacterial small subunit ribosomal RNA", at positions 28 to 507 of the family's 1533-position model. The record is from RNAcentral.